Molecule: non-coding RNA, 100 nt
Organism: Brassica rapa (field mustard)
Lineage: Eukaryota; Viridiplantae; Streptophyta; Magnoliopsida; Brassicales; Brassicaceae
Source: Rfam
GGAGAUGACGAUGAGGAUAUAAUGCUCCCUCUUCUGAGUUCAGCUGAAGUAACUUGCUGGCAGAAUCGAACCUAAAAUAUCACUAGCCACCACUGAGUCA